AGCACUGAGUAUAAUGGGAAUUGCCUUAAAAAAUAAAAAUAAAAGACAAACAUGUAAGAUCUCCUACCACUAAACAUUGAUAUAAAAUUCCCCCAGCUUAACCCACAAAUUAAAUUUAUUUCUUCAUUUAUAUUUUAAAAGUCAAAACAAUUGGAUUAUGUCAUUAUGUAUUAUUAAUGACAAAUUGCAUUGAAAAUUUUUAUUACUUACAGGAUUUUCAAAUUUGAUUCUAAAUAUAUGACCCCUAGUUUUAUAUUUUAGAUAAUACACAAAAGCAAAUAAAAUAUUUUUUAUAAGAUAAUCCAUUACCCCUAAUUAAGUGAUCUUAUAUUGUUUUAACCAACACAAACUCAAUUCAUGCUACUAUAAUUCAGUUACUAAGGAAUUACUCUGUUAUGAAUUGACAUAAAAAUUUCAAAAGUAAGUGGACAUACUUUGAUUGCAGGAGAAGCUGCUAUUUCCACCAACAGAGAAACCAGGAAGAAUCCUUUACUGCAGUCCUCACCAGGAAAUGAGAACAAAAUGUCCAUGUUGCUAAGAAAAUCAGGUGAUCAAACUCAGGACCUCACCCAUGAUAGGCAAAUGCUCUGGAAACUAUAACCAGACACUGGGAUUGUUUACAUUAAAUAUCAAUUGGAUUUCAUUUUCACUCAUGUUGCAUAAGAAAUACCAGAAAAUCUCCAUACCUUUCGGACAUCUCCAUCACCUCGAUCCCACACGUAUGCCAUGGUAAUGUAUCCCAGAACCAAAUGUGCGAGUCGCUGUGACUUAUGUCCUUGGAGCUCAUCAAUGCUGAGCAGUGGUAUCUGAGAACAAAUGGAGAGACUUGACCCAAUUCACUCUUGAUCCAAUUUCUAAUUUAGGCUUAGAAAUCAACUUAAAAAUGUUAAGCAACCAUACAAGAAGACAAAUGUAAUAUGUAUUUCAAACCUUCUCAACUUCUGCUCGAAGUUGGCCAUUCUCAAUCAGUUCAGGAAGAUUUUUAGCAAUGAAAAUCCAGGCGUCAUAAUCAUGAGGUAGUUCCUCCUUGAAAGAAAAAAAUAGGACUUUGAUUUGCUAGUGGAAGUUACUGUAAAAUAUUGUUGGUUUCCUGAGGAUGACUCCCCUUGCUUCUAAGUACAUUUUGUGCAUCAUUGCCCCAACAAACCUGUACUUGUCUGAAAACACCAGCCUGUGCUUUGUCACCUGACAAACAGGGCUCAAGCUCUUCUCUGUUUUCCACCUCUUCUCUCUUUAAGCACUUUCAUUUUGCAUCCUUUUCAAAAUUCAACCCAACAGAUGCUCUAAAACCUUCCUUAGUAUACCAUUCAACAUCAAUCUUCUCCAUUAUAAAUCCUAUGGAGUAUACCUUACAUGUCAUUAUUAAGUAAUCUUGUGUUUUAUAUUUUUUUCCAUUUCAACUAGAUUUUAAGUUCUUUGAACAGAAGAAAAUCUCAUUAGUGGAUUGGGCUUUCUGCUCACUAAUUUCAUAUGCAUUUCUCAUUUAAUUCUUGUAAUUGCCCCAAAAGUUGUCUCUAUGUCAUAAAUAAAAAGAACCUGGUCUCAGUUUACAUAACUUGUGACACACACACACACACACACACACACACUUGUAAUUCAGACAUAUAUAUUUCCAAUUUCAGAAUCCAUAGUCUUUUUAUGUCUUAAUAUUUGAUGACAAGGAUUAUAAUGUGCAAAUUAUUUUAAAUUUAUAUCUUUUUCAAGAACUGAAAUACACCUGGAAAUAUAGAAGAAACUGUAUAGGAUAAAGUCUCUUAUGCUUCUAGCAAAUGUUUCAAGACUCCCAGUUGAUGCCUAAAACUGCAAAUAGCACUUAACCACUAUGCAUUUUCCCUAUAUCUACAUCCUAUGAUAAACUUAAUACCUUUUUCAUUUGAAGUAAGCACUUACUAUGCUCUUUGGUGAUAACUUUUGCAGUUUUAGGUGUGACAGCAAAAACAACUUGAAUAGUUUCUUCACAAUUUCACUGAUACAUUUGUUCUUACCAUAGAGCUUAACAACACAGCAAUUUUUUUUCUUUAUUAAAUCAAGAACUUUCACCUUUUCACUUUAUGGAAGCACAUUAAACUCCUCUUUGGAAUAUCUAAAUUGUCCAGAGACGUCACUACUCUUGUGCUUUGGGGUUAUUAGUAAGAAAAAUAAGGGUUGCAAAACAAGCACUGCAAAACUUUGACAGUCCAUCUCAUAACCUGGGCACUACUGAGUUACUAACAGGUAGGUGAGUUUAUAGCAUGAAUACACUGGAAAAAGAGAUGACUCAUGUCCUGGGAGGGAUGGAAUGGAGUGGUGUGAAGUUUCAUUAUAAGACUCAAAAACAGUGAGCAAUUUAAUGCUCAUAAAUUGUUUACUUAUGGCGUUUUCCAUUUUACUUUGAGACUAUGGUUGACUGCAGGUCACUGAAGCAAACGAAAGCAAAAACAUAGAGAGUGGACUACUGUAUGCAUGUAAAUUGCCUACUUUGGUUCCACUAUAGGCUUGAUUUUUGCCCAACAAAUACAAAUGAAAUUCAAAUAAAAGUGUCUUCUUGAUCUGAUCAUAUUUUUUUAUCACAUAUCAAAGGAAAAUAUACAGCCAGGUGCCGAACGGCAUCUAGAGAUGUGGCUCAGUGGCUAAGCACCUCUGAAUUCAAUUCCUAAUACCCCCCUAAACAGCAAACAAAACCCAAAGGGAAACACAAACGCAAGACCUAGGCAAAAUCCUGAAGUGAGGCACAGGCAGAAGUCUGAACAACUUCCUGUAUACCCUGCCCUAAUGCCUCAUUCAGGUUGCUUCAAAGUGAGCCUUUUGGGUUAUCAGUAAUGGACUGUGGUGACUGAAGACAAAUGGCUUAACUUUAUUCCACAUGGGUAAGGCUUCGAACUUUAAAACCAAGUUAAGACUGUAAGUGAACUGUAAAGCAAAAUAACCGAUAUAAAUAAAAUUCACAGAGAUUCUUCAGCUACAUCCCUGUGUUUGGACGCAGUGUGUGUGAAAGCCCUGAGGUCUCCAGGAGCCACGGGGGGCGGGGGGGGAGGUGUCAGGGUUCAUAAAUUGCACACAAUUGUAGAUGUGGUCACUCUGGCAGUGACAGUGAUGGCGCUGGAAACGGAGCACAAUGGAGUUUCCACAGCAGCAGCGGCGCACCUUGGGACCCAACAGCGGCUUGGGCGACUGGGAGAGUCCACCGCCGCCGGGGCAUGAAGCCUGGACCCAGGCCAGAUCAAGGAGGCGAAACUGCAGCUGAUUCCAAUGCCCGACCUGCGGAGCCAGGCAGCUGCUUCCCCGCCAGGGUACUCAGCCAGAGGGACCGCGCUGUGACUCCGCCCCCAACACGCCCACUUCUAGCGGUGGCUCAGCUGCUGCGCGCCUGGGUGAGGUAGGGCGGCUGCUUGGGCGGGUUAUUCCAGAAACUUGCGGCUGUGUCCGCCGCUGAGCGUGAUUGUGGGCAACUGGACUGACGGUGAAACUUGGGCGGAUUAGGCAGAGGUUGGAACCUUUAGGGAAGCUGUUUGGGCCUAUUACACUGCUUAGCUAAUUAACCUGAUCCCGUAAGCAGCAGAAAAGGCAGCAUAGCUCCGCCCUCAAUGUGGGACCCGCCUGUGGCAUCCUGGGAUCUGGGGUUUGUGCGGGGAGACAGUGCAAACUCCUUCUCUAGAGCCAAGCUAUCGUGCACGCUCCAGAAAGUCCCUCUAACUGGGCUCCAAGCUUGUCCCCCGUGUCGCUAAGGUUGCCAAUGUCGAUGGCAAGGUUGCCUUUGCUGAUGGCCACAGAGGUGUGCUGGGACUUUACCCCUUUCCUUGACCUGGGUCGCACUUUUCGGUGAGCUUUAUACCAUACUCUCCACUCUCCCAAGACUGUAUCUUACAGGGUUCUUGUCUCUAACUUGCUGGGUUCCAAAAUCACUCACCUCAAAAUUCAGCUUUUAAUUGUUAUGCUGGUGCUUCUUUGUGAAAGAGGUGAGUGCUGGGCACCUCUGUAUGACUAUCUUGCCCUCUGACUCUAAAUGUGUGAUUAUUAAAAUAUUAAUGAUAAAUA
This is a long non-coding RNA of Marmota monax (woodchuck), 4014 nucleotides long. RefSeq lists it as uncharacterized. NCBI's taxonomy places the organism in Eukaryota, Metazoa, Chordata, Mammalia, Rodentia, Sciuridae. The record is from RefSeq and is a predicted model, not a curated record. The transcript is spliced from 2 exons.